AACAAUUAAGCACUUUUUUUUUAAUUGUCCUAUGGCUGAGGUUGCUUGGUUCAACUCACCUCUUUAGAGUACGGUCAUCUUGGCUUGAUGGUCACUUUGUUCUGGAUUGUUGGGAAGCACUUACCCGGCUUUUGUGUCCCUUCCCUUCGGAUAUUGAUCUUGUGCCGUUACCGGCCCUUAUUUGUUGGAGUAUUUGGAAGUGCAGAAAUUCCCUGCUUUUAAAAGGUCAUCACCUAGAUAUUCACAUGGUCAUCAACUUUGUUUUGGGCUUUCAAGCUAAAGCAGGUUUGCGCACUCGGAUUGAGCAGCAGCACUUGCAUCCCUAACAAUGGAUGCCUCCGCCAUCUAAUCUGUUGAAAGCUAACUUUGAUGCUG
RNAcentral lists this unclassified non-coding RNA (375 nucleotides) under Hevea brasiliensis (rubber tree). The record is from RNAcentral. Lineage: Eukaryota; Viridiplantae; Streptophyta; Magnoliopsida; Malpighiales; Euphorbiaceae.